This is an RNA transcript of Spinacia oleracea (spinach), 4088 nucleotides long. It is a transcript of the gene named probable disease resistance protein At1g61300, with no coding region annotated. The transcript is spliced from 9 exons. The record is from RefSeq and is a predicted model, not a curated record. Lineage: Eukaryota; Viridiplantae; Streptophyta; Magnoliopsida; Caryophyllales; Amaranthaceae.
AAAUGAACAUUUUCAAAAUACAUGAGAGGUUUUGACUCAAUCAUUUUUACCAAACACUUCUUUUUGAUAAAUUUGGAUUAAUCAACCUUUAAAAAUUGUUCAAAAGUUCAAAACUCUAAAAGCCCCUAAACCUCUCUUCACUGAACAAGGCCAAGAACAUUCUUUCGAGUUUUAAGGAACAUAAAGUAAUAAAAGUAUAAAUUAAUUGUACAAUGAAAUCAACAAGAAAAAUUUCCCUAAACAAAAAUAUAUAAAUUCUGGAGCAUCAUGUUCUUGGAUAAUGGUUGCGCAAGUCUGAGAGAAGCACAGAAGAGGAAGUUGGGAUUCAAGCUAACUUAUCAUGUAGUGGCUCUUGUAUGCGGCGUUGUGGGAAUAUUGACGUCUAUGGUUGGCUCCUCUGCUUGCUUUUACAAUUCAUACACAACAAGCAGAAACAGUUUAGCGAUACUGGAGCAAAAGGUGAGGGAUCUUAAACAAUUGCUGGAGAAGAUUGAACUGAAGUUUAGAGGGAAUGGUGUGCUUAGGCCUGAUCCCUCGGAAUGGAUUAGAAAUGUAAAUACUUUUUUGGAAGCAGACCGUAAAAUGGACCUUGGAGGUCAUCUACAUGAGAGUUGUAUCAAUUGUUGUCUUGUGUGUAAGACUUGGAAGUUAAUCUUGAACAGUACGAGAAAAGCGGACAAGCUGCUGAAGGAGGGUGAAGAUAUCGAAGUCGUCGGUAUUAGGCGGUCAGGUUCAAGAACGACAUAUUUUUUUGGAGAGGAUGUAGAAAACAUCAGUGAAAUGAUAUGGAAUGAAGUUUCACAGGAAACAGGAGUACAGGUAGUUUGCAUUCAUGGAAUUGCUGGUGUCGGAAAGACAGUUAUGGCAGCAGCAAUCCAUGAUAAAGCAUUGGAAAAUAUGGAGGAUAAUUUUCAGAAUGUUAUUUGGAUAAGCAUUGAGUAUGGGUGGGUGAUGAAGGACAUUCAAGAAGAAAUUGGAAGGCAGUUACCUUCAGAUCUCUCUGACUGUACAGAUGAUAGAGUCAGAGCUGAAAGAUUGAAGGCGGUUCUAACUAGCAAGAAAUUUCUCCUGGUUUUAGACAGUUUCCCAAUGUGGCAAGAUUUGAAUCUUGAUCAUAUUGGAUUACCACGGUCUAGCAAUAGUUGGAAGCUGAUAGUUGCUUCAAGAAGUUAUUCGGCAUGCAUAAAAGUCAGGGAGCGUAUUUCUGCAACAAAUAUAAUUUAUGAAAUAAAACCUCUUCCUCAGGAUAAGGCUUGGGAAUUAUUUGAACAUGUUGCAGGUUCCAACCUUGGGCGUUUAAAUGAUGAAAUCAUCCAGGACACUAAGCUCGCUGUAAUUGAUCUUAACGGCCUUCCUUCAGCUAUUGAAAUGUUUGCAAAGGCCCUGAAAGAAAUACCUGAUGACAACCCUACCAGAAUUAUUGAUUCUUGGAAAAGGGAAUUGGUUUCUCUGAGUAGCUCAGGGUCCUUGCUUGGUAGAAAAGGCCAAGAGUUUUUUAACGGUUUCAAAGAUAUCUUCGAAAAAUUAGAACAGGUCGAGUUGUCAUGUUUUGCUUAUUGUCUGUUAUUUCCAAAGGGUUAUAUCAUCAAGGCAAAGGAGCUGAUAGAGUAUUGGAUGUGGGAGGGAAUUCUUGGUGAAGUUUCAUGUUUGGAAGAAACCAUAGGAAAGGGACGGGAAGUAUUGCACAAUCUCAGCGAUGCUCACCUUCUUGAGAUCAUUGACGAAGGUAAGCCUGAAGAAUCCGUCAGGAUGCUGACUGUAAUCCGAUUUGCAGCAAUGAAUGCUGAUGUAAUAAAAUCAGGUCACCAUGACAUCAUCAAAUGUGGAAACUCUGUCAAAGAGCUUCCUUUAGCAAAGGAUUGGCCUGAGAAUACUCAAAGAGCCACAUUUGUUCAGAAUGAGGUGUGCGCUUUACAAAAUAGUCCUGAUUGCAAAUUUCUGUCUACUUUGCUUAUGCAAGAUAAUCCCCUAGACUCAGCAUCCCACAAAAAGUUCUUUUCAAAGUUGGUUAAUCUUCGAGUCCUUGAUCUAUCUCGAACUAAGAUGAAAUCUCUACCAAAAUCUCUCUCUGGCUUGGAUAAUCUACAUGCACUUCUUCUUCGUGAUUGUGAAAACUUAACUUCUCUCCCAUCCUUGUCAAAUCUCCAAAAAUUGCUUGUUCUUGAUCUCUCUGGGACACCUGUAACAGAGUUGCCUAGAGGGUUAAACAACUUGACAAACUUAAGGCGUCUGAAUCUUUCGUGUACUAAGUUACAAGUACUCCAAGCUUCAGAAGUUGGUCAACUGACACAGUUAGAAGAACUAUUAUUGAUGUGCAAUAGUGGGGGAAAUCUCAUAUGGGGGUCGAAUAAGAUUUAUUCAGUUCGGAGAGAUCUUUGUAUAGAGGAGAUCAUAAACUUGGGAAGGUUGGUUGUUCUUCAGCUUAACUUCUCUGACACAGCAGUCUUCAGAAAAUUUCUGCACACUGCAAAAUUUGAGAGAAAUGCUGCCAGGCAAGGAGUUACAAAACGCAGAUUUAAAUUUCGUGUGGGUCAAAUGUACAAUAAUUGUGAUCAUGUAGUUGGUGACAACAGUUUAACAUUAAUAGGAGAUCACAGGGCUCCUCUUACCAAAGGAACUGCUGAGUUGCACUUGAUAAGUUGUGCUCAGAAACUACCCUCACUAAAUAUUUAUGGCUGCUUGAGGCACUUGUCCAUUCUGGAUGUCUCUGACUUCGAUUACCUUGAGUAUGUGCUCACAAGGGAGAUGCUUAACAACCUCGUUGAGCUGAAGGAGAUACGUGUGAGGCGGUGUCAGAAAACUGUAUCAAUAAUAAAGCCGGAUGCAGAGGCUGACAUUAUUGCUGUUCCUAAAUUAACAACAUUGUUGCUCUGUGAUCUACCGGAGCUGAAGAGCAUAUGUGAUUGGCAAGAGGUGAAUUUCCCUUUUCUGGAGGAGGUUAAGGUUUUGAAUUGUGAAAUCAUGGAGCUCCCUACGAUGGGGGCUGGAGAACGCAAGAUUUUAAUCAAAGGAUACAGGAAUUGGCUUGAGAGAGAAAAAAACAGUAAUUCAAGUGCCAGUUCUGUCUUCAUAUAUGAAGAAAUACCACAGCCUACAGAGAUACAGCCUUCUUCUACUUCAGGACUGCCACCAGUUCCACCGGUACAGCCAAUUAAUUGUACAGGACUGCCACCAGUUCCACCGGUACAGACAGUUAAUCGUACAGGACACACGACUCCCGGCUAUUUGGACAUACUUAGGGGCUGGGUUGUUGUGACCUUUUCACGGGCCGCAGGCGACCUUCAUACUGCCAGCACCAGUAGCUAUGCAAUGUCCGAGGAUUCUGCACUCCCACUUGCCGGAGCUGGUCCAUCGGAAAUAGAACUUAACAGAUCCCGCAGCAGUCGUUCCACAAAUUAGAAGAUGCACCCAGUUGUAUGUAGCUCUAAAUGCAACCGGAUUAAAAGCACAUUUUUACAAUUAAAAACACGUUUUUACAGAUUGCCACCAGUUCCACCGGCUCCGCCGGUUAAUCAUACAGGAAAUACGAGUCCCAGCUGUUGGGACAUAAUUACGUGCAUGAUUUGGGAUCGUGUGACCCGUUCACCCGCAGGCGACCUUCAUACUGCCACUGCCAGCACCAGUAGUUAUGCGAUAUCCGAGGAUUCUGCCCUCCCACAUGCAGGAGCUGGGGAGAUGUCUUAGAGGUGAAGGAUGUCGAAGAGGAUGUUAAAAAUUACAUGAAUUCCAAGACUCGAGAUUGUGCAAAAGGGUUAUGCAAGUUUGUAGGCAACUAUGGUGAGUUGACUAAACACACAUAUCGUUAUCACCCUUUUGAUGAUUUUCCUGUUUUGGAGGAUUAUAUGAUAUCUGACGGUCGUGCGGUUGAAGUCAUCGGUCCCAUGGUUCGUGUAUUGCCAGAUACGCUGUUUGAUAUACAUAAUAUGGGUGAUUAUUUUGAAUCACAAUUUCACAUGUACUUGCAACGCUGGUAGCAGAUAGAUAGAUAGAUAGAUAGAUAGAUAGAUAUUCAGUGGGUUUAAUUCAUUUUGUAAUUUGUUCCACGUAUUUGAGUUUAAUAAUUAAAGGGAAAUCUUAUGGAGUUUAAA